UAAAUGAGCCGACUGAUCUGGGAUGUGUUAGAGGUGGCUGAUGUGGGAGUGGAGCUGUUCUUGUUGCCCCUCACGAUGUCUUCCAAUUUGUGGUAGGAUUCUGUCUAUUCACUUUCAUCAUCACUUUCCUGAAAGUUCAAAUGGUUCAUAUUCCUUUCUAGCGGUGGAAGUCCAUCUUCUGAAUCACUAGAAGCAUCCUCAUCUUUGCUUGUUUCUGCUCCUAUAGCACAGAAAGCUUCAACAUCUGGGACAGCUUUUGGAACCUGAUUUUGCAGGGAAAGCCAAUCAUUUUGAACAGAAAUAAUGGCCGCACUAUUUUCACACUCAGAGUAUGCCUUUAGAAGUUCCCUAUUGAGGCUCAGGAAUGCAUGACCCCAUUUGAACUUGCCCAGCAACAAAUUUGCAGUUUCCUUUUCCCCACAUAUUAUCAAAGCUGCAGAUAAUGCUUCUACACAAGAGAGCUCACAGGGUCGACCAUAAUUUACUGGGUUCGCUGCUACAAGCCAUGGUAACAAGCGAGGAGCAGCACAGCGCAGUUUCACAAAUGGUACAUCAUUCAAGCGUGCCCAUGAGCAAUCCACAACAGCUAAUCCUCUCCUCUCUAUUAAGCAAUAAUCUUCUUUAGAGACGCAUUGACUCCCAACAGGACUUAAAACAAUGCCACCAAAACCACUACUGACACGCAACUCUUUCAACAAACCAAAUCUUGCGAGCUUGCGCCCUGUACACCUUUUCGCGUCACACUGUCCAAAGUCCCACAUCGCAAGCUGAAUUCUGGGCACAUUUGUAACCUCUUCAGGAACUUGAUCAGAUGGGAGAGACUCAUCUUGCCUUUCAAGGUGACUGGUCCGGCUGGAUUGUCCACGAUGAGAAUUGUGAGUUUUAGAUCGCCUGGGUUUGUUACGACCCAUUUUUGGUCGUGAAUGGAGCGAGAACAAAUCACCAACCGAAUCUAAUACGAGAGAGUUAAGAGGGAAUACAAGGAAGAGAAAGAGAAAGGUCUACGAUUUUCUUGCCAAACAGCGUUUUCCUGGAAAAGAAAGAGGAGUAGAAUUGCCGGAAAAACAGACAAUUGGGAUCUGUGAGAGCUAUUUGCGCAGGUGUCCGAGUUACAAAGUUUGCUUGGCCGAUCUAUAAGAGCUGAAACAGAAACCUUUGAACCUUCACCGCAGGGAGCAGCAGCCUACUAGGGUUUAUGCAAGCACGUGAUAUUCAGG
Molecule: unclassified non-coding RNA, 1217 nt
Filed under: Hevea brasiliensis (rubber tree)
Lineage: Eukaryota; Viridiplantae; Streptophyta; Magnoliopsida; Malpighiales; Euphorbiaceae
Source: RNAcentral